UACGUAGGGCGCAAGCAUUGUCCGGAAUUAUUGGGCGUAAAGAGCUCGUAGGCGGCUUGUCACGUCGGGUGUGAAAGCCCGGGGCUUAACCCCGGGUCUGCAUUCGAUACGGGCAGGCUGGAGUUCGGUAGGGGAGAUCGGAAUUCCUGGUGUAGCGGUGAAAUGCGCAGAUAUCAGGAGGAACACCGGUGGCGAAGGCGGAUCUCUGGGCCGAUACUGACGCUGAGGAGCGAAAGCGUGGGGAGCGAACAGG
This 253-nucleotide ribosomal RNA is filed under the name uncultured bacterium. RNAcentral describes it as "partial 16S ribosomal RNA". It matches the Rfam family "Bacterial small subunit ribosomal RNA", at positions 524 to 776 of the family's 1533-position model. The record is from RNAcentral.